UACGUAGGGGGCUAGCGUUGUCCGGAUUUAUUGGGCGUAAAGAGCGUGUAGGCGGCCAUGUAGGUCCGGUGUGAAAACUCGAGGCUUAACCUCGAGAUUGCAUCGGAAACCAUUUGGCUAGAGUCCGGAAGAGGAGAGUGGAAUUCCUGGUGUAGCGGUGAAAUGCGCAGAUAUCAGGAAGAACACCAAUGGCGAAAGCAGCUCUCUGGGACGGUACUGACGCUGAGACGCGAAAGCGUGGGGAGCGAACAGG
Molecule: ribosomal RNA, 253 nt
Filed under: uncultured bacterium
Lineage: Bacteria
Description: partial 16S ribosomal RNA
Rfam family: Bacterial small subunit ribosomal RNA
Source: RNAcentral